CUACGGGCUGCACCAGUGGGGAAUAUUGGGUAAUGGGCGAAAGCCUGACCCAGCAACGCCGCGUUAAGGAAGAAGGUUUUCGGAUCGUAAACUUCUAUCCUAGGUGAAGAUAAUGACGGUAGCCUAGAAGGAAGCCCCGGCUAACUACGUGCCAGCAGCCGCGGUAAUACGUAGGGGGCAAGCGUUGUCCGGAAUGAUUGGGCGUAAAGGGCGCGUAGGCGGCCAUGUAAGUCCGGUGUGAAAGUCCUGCUUUUAAGGUGGGAAUUGCAUUGGAAACUGUGUGGCUUGAGUGCAGGAGAGGUAAGCGGAAUUCCCGGUGUAGCGGUGAAAUGCGUAGAGAUCGGGAGGAACACCAGUGGCGAAGGCGGCUUACUGGACUGUAACUGACGCUGAGGCGCGAAAGUGUGGGGAGCAAACAGGAUUAGAUACCCGUGUAGUC
Molecule: ribosomal RNA, 439 nt
Filed under: uncultured bacterium
Lineage: Bacteria
Description: partial 16S ribosomal RNA
Rfam family: Bacterial small subunit ribosomal RNA
Source: RNAcentral